This 559-nucleotide ribosomal RNA is filed under the name uncultured fungus. RNAcentral describes it as "eukaryotic LSU rRNA". The stretch from base 208 to 361 matches the Rfam family "5.8S ribosomal RNA". Lineage: Eukaryota; Fungi. The record is from RNAcentral.
CGUAACAAGGUCUCCGUAGGUGAACCUGCGGAGGGAUCAUUACACAAAUAUGAAGGCGGGCUGGAACCUCUCGGGGUUACAGCCUUGCUGAAUUAUUCACCCUUGUCUUUUGCGUACUUCUUGUUUCCUUGGUGGGUUCGCCCACCACUAGGACAAACAUAAACCUUUUGUAAUUGCAAUCAGCGUCAGUAACAAAUUAAUAAUUACAACUUUCAACAACGGAUCUCUUGGUUCUGGCAUCGAUGAAGAACGCAGCGAAAUGCGAUAAGUAGUGUGAAUUGCAGAAUUCAGUGAAUCAUCGAAUCUUUGAACGCACAUUGCGCCCUUUGGUAUUCCAAAGGGCAUGCCUGUUCGAGCGUCAUUUGUACCCUCAAGCUUUGCUUGGUGAUGGGCGUCUUGUCUCUAGCUUUGCUGGAGACUCGCCUUAAAGUAAUUGGCAGCCGGCCUACUGGUUUCGGAGCGCAGCACAAGUCGCACUCUCUAUCAGCAAAGGUCUAGCAUCCAUUAAGCCUUUUUUUCAACUUUUGACCUCGGAUCAGGUAGGGAUACCCGCUGAACU